GAGGGUGUAGCUCAGUGGUAGAGCACAUGCCUAGCAUACACGAGGCCCUGGGUUCAACCCCCAGGACCGCCA
RNAcentral lists this transfer RNA (72 nucleotides) under Camelus bactrianus (Bactrian camel). It matches the Rfam family "tRNA". From Rfam's summary of the family: Transfer RNA (tRNA) molecules are approximately 80 nucleotides in length. The record is from Rfam by way of RNAcentral. RNAcentral also lists the same sequence under 2 other names. Lineage: Eukaryota; Metazoa; Chordata; Mammalia; Artiodactyla; Camelidae.